GUCUAUAGCCAUACCACCCUGAACAUGCCCAAUCUUGUCUGAUCUCGGAAGCUAAGCAAGGCGGGGCCCAGUUAGUACUUGGAUGAGAGAAAUGAACUAUUAAGCCAUGAGAAAACACGGAGUAAGUAAACU
Molecule: ribosomal RNA, 132 nt
Filed under: Propithecus coquereli (Coquerel's sifaka)
Lineage: Eukaryota; Metazoa; Chordata; Mammalia; Primates; Indriidae
Source: RNAcentral